Molecule: ribosomal RNA, 380 nt
Filed under: uncultured bacterium
Lineage: Bacteria
Description: bacterial SSU rRNA
Rfam family: Bacterial small subunit ribosomal RNA
Source: RNAcentral
GGGGUGAUUAGUGGCGAACGGGUGAGUAACACGUGAGUAACCUGCCCCUGACUCUGGGAUAAGCCAGGGAAACUGGGUCUAAUACUGGAUAUGCACCGUGGACCGCAUGGUCCUUGGUGGAAAGAUUUUUUGGUCAGGGAUGGACUCGCGGCCUAUCAGCUUGUCUGGUGAGGUAAUGGCUCACCAAGGCGACCACGGGUAGCCGGCCUGAGAGGGUGACCGGCCACACUGGGACUGAGACACGGCCCAAACUCCUACCGGAGGCAGCAGUGGGGAAUUUUGCACAUUGGGCGAAACCCCGAUGCAGCGACCCCCCGUGAGGAAUGACCGCCUUCGGUUUGUAAACCUCCUCCACUAGGAAAGAAACCAAAGGGACCGUA